Molecule: unclassified non-coding RNA, 429 nt
Filed under: fungal sp.
Lineage: Eukaryota; Fungi
Description: partial internal transcribed spacer region
Rfam family: Eukaryotic small subunit ribosomal RNA (bases 1-46)
Source: RNAcentral
AAGUCGUAACAAGGUUUCCGUAGGUGAACCUGCGGAAGGAUCAUUACCGCUCUCUUUUUUUUUUGUUUUCAAAUUCGUGUGAAUGCCAGUGAAUCAACAAAUUGUUGUUUUUGUGUUGGUGUGUGUGCAUUGUUUUGUGUUUGCUUGUUGGUUGUGUGUGUGAAUGUGAGUGUGUGUGUGCAUGAAUGUGUGUGAGAGUGAAAGAGUGCCAGUCACUCCAAUUUCAUUUUCACAUUUGUGUGAACACACUGCCAAACACACACACACAACCAAUCAAACACAAAAGCAAUGUGUGCCAACACUGUUUUUCAUUUUCAAACACAAAUCAAAACAACACAAACAUGUUGCAAUCGUCAAAUUCAAAUUUCAAAUUCAAAUUCAAUAAUUCAAAUCGAAUCACAACUCUUGACAAUGGAUAUCUUGGUUCUC